CCUACGGGAGGCAGCAGUGAGGAAUAUUGGUCAAUGGGCGGGAGCCUGAACCAGCCAAGCCGCGUGAGGGAAGAAGGUACAGCGUAUCGUAAACCUCUUUUGUCAGGGAACAAAGGCGGGGACUAGUCCCCGGAUGAGGGUACCUGAAGAAAAAGCAUCGGCUAACUCGGUGCCAGCAGCCGCGGUAAUACGGAGGAGGCGAGCGUUAUCCGGUUUUAUGGGGUUUAAAGGGUGGGCAGGCGACCUGUUAAGUCAGCGGUAAAAGCCCGGGGCUCAACCCCGGCGAGCCGUUGAAACUGGCGGGCUGGAGUGGGAGAGAAGUACGCGGAAUGCGUGGUGUAGCGGUGAAAUGCGUAGAUAUUGCGCAGAACCCCGAUUGCGAAGGCAGCGUACCGGCUCCACACUGACGCUGGGGCACGAAAGCGUGGGUAUCGAACAGGAUUAGAUACCCUUGUAGUC
This 459-nucleotide ribosomal RNA is filed under the name uncultured bacterium. RNAcentral's name for it is "partial 16S ribosomal RNA". It matches the Rfam family "Bacterial small subunit ribosomal RNA", at positions 338 to 795 of the family's 1533-position model. The record is from RNAcentral.